UGUGAAUGAUGACACUUUUUUGCCUGACCCUACUGUGGGGGUACAAAAUGAUUUAAUGAGCCUGACGC
Molecule: small nucleolar RNA, 68 nt
Organism: Eleginops maclovinus (Patagonian blennie)
Lineage: Eukaryota; Metazoa; Chordata; Actinopteri; Perciformes; Eleginopidae
Source: RefSeq, a predicted model, not a curated record